AGGACCUCACAUUUUCUUUUUAUCUGGGAAUUACAAAUAAGUUGCUUUAACGGACUCUUCUAAGUAGCUUAAUAGCUGAAUAAAUAUGCAUUUCUAUUUUGCAAUAUUUAUGUAAGUUUUUCACUUUUCUAUCAGCUCCCCUGUAUGCACUUUCUUCAGAUUGGGAGCAUCUUGUUUCUAUUUUUCCACCUUGUCUAACAGAAGUUAAGAUAACGUGUAGACAUAAAUGUAUGUUAAUUCUUAUGGAUUUGUUCUAGUGAUGUUUGACCAUUAGUGCAGAGUGUCUAUCGUUUAUCGUACCUUAUGGGUUUUGCUAGCUGACAAAUAGGAAGAACACAAGCCUUAAACUGGUAAUAAGCUCAGAGUAGAGCAACCUUCUAAUAGCCUGGUUUUCACAGCUGAAGGUCCUCAUCUCUGACCUGAUGUAAACCUCCUUCAGAAUGGAAGGAAAACUUGCUGCCUGAAGUCCUUGGAUAUUUUCAUUCUUUGGGGAAGUGGAAGAGUCGUCUUCUACUGGGUCACAGUAAGUCCAGUUCAUUUUCUGUGUCCGUGUUGCAUCGUACAGAUAAAAUAUUUGAGGCUUAAAAAAGAUUUGAAAUUAUAUAUUAUAUUAUAUGAUUGAUUGAUUGAUUGAGAUAAUAGAUAGAUAGAUAGAUAGAUAGAUAGAUAGAUAGAUAGAUAGAUAGAUAGAUAGAUAGAUAGAUAGAUAGAUAGAUAGAUAGAUAGAUAGAUACAUCGAUAAUAAAUAUAGAGGUUUUUAAACAGAAACUGAUGGCCGUCUGUUUGCUUCGUGUGUUUUUGCAUAGUAGAAUGGAGUUGAACUGGAUGGCCCUUGUGGUCACUUCCAACUCCAUGAUUCAAUAAUUCUGUUUCUUUAUAAUCAUUUGAGCAGAUCAAAAUAUGAGCAUGAAUCCUUCUGUACUUCCAUAGAGGUCAGCCCAACCACUGUUAAUGGUGGCAUCCUCAAAUAAUGUCAUUUGUUGGACUUUCAUGCUCAGGU
Molecule: long non-coding RNA, 1000 nt
Filed under: Anolis carolinensis (green anole)
Lineage: Eukaryota; Metazoa; Chordata; Lepidosauria; Squamata; Anolidae
Description: lncRNA (ENSACAG00000042077.1)
Source: RNAcentral